CCUACGGGAGGCUGCAGUGGGGAAUAUUGCACAAUGGGGGAAACCCUGAUGCAGCCAUGCCGCGUGUGUGAAGAAGGCCUUCGGGUUGUAAAGCACUUUCAGCGAGGAGGAAAGGGUGAUAGCUAAUACCUAUCAUCUGUGACGUUACUCGCAGAAGAAGCACCGGCUAACUCCGUGCCAGCAGCCGCGGUAAUACGGAGGGUGCAAGCGUUAAUCGGAAUUACUGGGCGUAAAGCGCACGCAGGCGGUCAGAUAAGUCAGAUGUGAAAGCCCCGGGCUCAACCUGGGAACUGCAUUUGAAACUGUCUGACUAGAGUCUUGUAGAGGGGGGUAGAAUUCCAGGUGUAGCGGUGAAAUGCGUAGAGAUCUGGAGGAAUACCGGUGGCGAAGGCGGCCCCCUGGACAAAGACUGACGCUCAGGUGCGAAAGCGUGGGGAGCAAACAGGAUUAGAUACCCCGGUAGUC
Molecule: ribosomal RNA, 465 nt
Filed under: Weissella confusa
Lineage: Bacteria; Bacillati; Bacillota; Bacilli; Lactobacillales; Lactobacillaceae
Description: bacterial SSU rRNA
Rfam family: Bacterial small subunit ribosomal RNA
Source: RNAcentral